ACUUUCUUCAGGGCUAUCAGAUGAAGGCAGCAACGAAAACACCACAAGACCAACUUCAGGCUGGAGCUGAUGAUGCCACACAGCGAGAAAAAAGAAAAUAGACUCUACUUAGAAAUGAAACUCAACUAAAGGUAAAAGAUGUCAGGAACAUCUCCAAGAAAGCCAGAGUCAGCCUCUAAACUUUGCAUCAAGAACGCAAUGGCUUCCCUGAGGGCCCAGGGACGCUUGGCAGCUGUGAGGCAGCCCCUUCUCUGCUGUCGAGGAACUGGACACUUCUCCUAUCCCUUCCCACAAGGGGCUUCCUGGAGCUCCUGCAACCCCAGGCAUUAGUUCCAGUGCAGUUCUAGGAUCAGAUCAAUUCACUCGACAACAAGAGAAACAAAUGGAGAUUCCUACACAAAGACUUUCAAGCACAAAGAAAUCCUGCUGCCUGUAAAGUGGAGCUGCCUCAGCUCUUGAUGAACGACAGAAAAUCUCACAUUCCAGGAAUUCAGAUGAAGUGAAGUGCUCUCAUGGGGACCAGGCAUGGUUAUUCCAGUCCACUGCCCUGCAAGCCUCAAGGGAAGCCAACUGCCCUUCAGCAAGUCACACCUGCCUUGGUGGAGGCCUUGAUUGGAAGUGCCACACGCUACAUGUCCAGUCCUGAGCGGGAGAAUCGGUGUAGGGACGUUGUGGGGAUGCCGGCUGUGGCCAGAUCAGGUCCAGCUACAGAAGAAUGAAGACUCCACCUGAGGGCUGGAAAAACAAAACCUCAAGUGUGAGGCAGCCAACCUGUUACCUCGAGGGACUGUCCCGCAGCACAGCGGGGCCAUGGGAACAG
RNAcentral lists this long non-coding RNA (820 nucleotides) under Pan troglodytes (chimpanzee). RNAcentral describes it as "lincRNA". Lineage: Eukaryota; Metazoa; Chordata; Mammalia; Primates; Hominidae. The record is from RNAcentral.